Long non-coding RNA from Etheostoma cragini (Arkansas darter), 299 nucleotides. RefSeq lists it as uncharacterized. The record is from RefSeq and is a predicted model, not a curated record. NCBI's taxonomy places the organism in Eukaryota, Metazoa, Chordata, Actinopteri, Perciformes, Percidae. The transcript has 3 exons.
AGGUUGAGGAACAACAGACCCAACCGGCCUUGCUUCUACACUACAGCCUGUAGACACCCUAUCCUCCACAACAAGUUCUGACAUCUAUGAGUGUGACAGGGGAGAACCUAGUGAUCCUGCUGACUGGCCUACAGACACGGUGAGGACUCAGUUAGUCAAUAGAGGACCAUAUCAUACCAAUGUAGAUUUCUCCUUUCCCAAACAACAGGAUGGACGAAGGACAAAUUUUGUUUUCAUUUAUUUGGCAGGGACAGCGCAGAAUGUAUAAAUGAAGGGGAAAUUAAAGCCACAUGGAUAAU